Molecule: microRNA, 22 nt
Filed under: Homo sapiens (human)
Lineage: Eukaryota; Metazoa; Chordata; Mammalia; Primates; Hominidae
Description: hsa-miR-548ad-3p
Gene: hsa-miR-548ad-3p
Source: miRBase by way of RNAcentral
GAAAACGACAAUGACUUUUGCA